UCUCUGUAGGUGAACCUGCGGAGGGAAUAUUACAGAGUAUCAUGCCCUUCGGGGUAGAUCUCCCACCCUGGGUAUUAUAUACCUUUUGUUGCUUUGGCGGGCCGCCUCGGCCACCGGCUCCGGCUGGUGCGUGCCCGCCAGAGGACCCCAAACUCUGAAUGUUAGUGUCGUCUGAGUACUAUCUAAUAGUUAAAACUUUCAACAACGGAUCUCUUGGUUCUGGCAUCGAUGAAGUACGCAGC
This 242-nucleotide unclassified non-coding RNA is filed under the name uncultured fungus. Its description in RNAcentral is "sequence contains ITS1, 5.8S rRNA gene". The stretch from base 194 to 242 matches the Rfam family "5.8S ribosomal RNA", at positions 1 to 49 of the family's 154-position model. Lineage: Eukaryota; Fungi. The record is from RNAcentral.